UACGUAGGGGGCAAGCGUUGUCCGGAAUCAUUGGGCGUAAAGCGCGUGUAGGCGGCCCGGUAAGUCCGCUGUGAAAGUCGGGGGCUCAACCCUCGAAUGCCGGUGGAUACUGUCGGGCUAGAGUGCGGGAGAGGCGAGUGGAAUUCCUGGUGUAGCGGUGAAAUGCGCAGAUAUCAGGAGGAACACCAAUUGCGAAGGCAGCUCGCUGGAACGUAACUGACGCUGAGACGCGAAAGCCAGGGGAGCGAACGGG
RNAcentral lists this ribosomal RNA (253 nucleotides) under uncultured bacterium. RNAcentral describes it as "partial 16S ribosomal RNA". It matches the Rfam family "Bacterial small subunit ribosomal RNA", at positions 524 to 776 of the family's 1533-position model. The record is from RNAcentral.